Non-coding RNA from Phyllopteryx taeniolatus (common seadragon), 2234 nucleotides. The record is from the annotation of a RefSeq genome assembly. Lineage: Eukaryota; Metazoa; Chordata; Actinopteri; Syngnathiformes; Syngnathidae.
UAUGAUAAAAAGCAGAACAUUCCGAAAUUUAAAACAAGGAACCUUAAUUCGUCACACUGUUAACAUAAGGACUGUAAAUUAUACAGGGCAGAGGCAAUGCGACAAAGCAACAUGAAAAUGCAACGCAGUAAAAGUAUCAAAUAUUAUCUGUAUAUUGCAAUAUAUAGUACUGACAGAUCGAAGCAACACAACAAAGCGAUGUGAACAGAAAAAGAAGACUGUGAGAGACAAUAUGAGUUUUAAACACUUUAUUAUAGGAAAAUGAAAAAACUGUACUUACUGUCAAUGAUUCAAAUACAAUGUAAUGCACAUAAAAGUUAGGUAAAAACUGUACCUAAGGAAAUGUUUAAAAAAAGCAAACAGUUCUUAAAAGAUUAAACAACUGAAUUGUACUUGAGAAAUGGUUCUUUCGUAUACCACUAGAGGGAGCCCGCAUUCCACGCUUUUACAAUCACUGCUCUAAACCAAGAGGGGGCGCCAAAUAGCUAGAAAGUCAAGGAGCAUUCUGGGUACCGUUUUCUGUUGAUCAAAGAAGGUCCGUGUCACCUCCCCUGUUAAUGCAUCUUGCAACUGAAUGGACCGGAAAGUGGAGCGCUUAGAUUUCAACUAACAUGAUCGCGACAGUGCUGAUAUUCGCCCAACUGCAGACCGGAAGUAAGGACUCAAGAACAUGUAGAAGAAAAAAUAAUAAUAAUCAAAAAAAAAAAAAAAAAAGAAUCACGUGGCAUUGUUUAAUACCCUUUGUGCUCUUUCCCACGGCGGCAGCAUCGGACGUCGUAAGGGUGCACCAAACACCGCCGUUCAUCGUAAAGAGACUCGGCGAAGACGCCGCCAAAGAAAUAAGAUGCUCGCACAACGUCAAGGAUGACAAUGUCAUCAUCCUCUGGUUACAAGCACUAUGGAGCGCCUGGGCUAUCAUAAAUGGAUGCUCGCUCAAUCCGGCUUUCCAAAAAUCAAUUAAUGUAAAAUAUCACAAUAAAAGUGCACAUCACAUCAAAUUAAUAGUUGAUUGAUUAUGUCUUUUAGUUGAUUAAAUGUUGAAAGGCCAACAUACUGUACAACACUACAGCUGUUGUCGUUUUGAUUCGUCCUUUACUUUGUAAACCCACUUACAUUGUCUAUCAUUACAUUAUUAUGUUUCAUACAAUACAGUGCUAUUUUCUUUUAUGAAAAAUGUAUCAGUAACAAAUGUGUUUUUUUGGGGGGGUUGGGGGGCUGGAACGGAUUAAUGUCAUUUUAAUUCAUUUCAGUGGGUAAUACUGAUUUGAUAUUUUAGUAAAUUUGCAUUACGAGCUUGGUCACGUAACGGAUGAAAUUUGUAAGUCAAGGUACCACUGUAUUUGCUUAAUCAUAAAUAAGAUAACAAAGCCUUCAUUAGUCCCACAAUGAGGAAAUUUGCAACGCGAACAAAGGCGCUCAAGAUUUGAAAUUGUGGGAGUGGGGGGAACUCGUGCGCCGGAAAAAAAAAAAAAAAAGAAAUAUAUAUAUAUAAAAAUUAUAAAAGUUCAAUACAACUGAACUAUACUUGGGCAGUGAUUCUUUUGCAUACCAGUAGAGGGAGCCUGCGCGCCAUCCUUUGAGAAUCGCUGCUUUACACCAACAGGGGGCGCCAAACAUCAGCUAGAAAGUCAAGCAGCAUUCUGGGUACUUUUUUCUGUUGAUAAACGGAGGUCGGUGACAGCCCUCCUGUUAAUCCGACGGCAUUUUCAAGGACCGGACGGGCAACGUGGCGCUAUCACAUUUCAAGUAACAUGAUAGCAACAGCGCUCGUACUUGUCCUGCUGGAGACUGUAGCAGCAGCAUCGGACCCGGCAUUGAAGGUGCACCAAACACCGCCGUUCAUCACAAAGAGACUCGGGGAAGACACCACCAACGAAAUAAGCUGCUCACAUAGCAUCACAGAUUACGACGUCAACCUCUGGUACAAGCAAGACCGGGGUGGCACUAUGGAGCUCCUGGGCUACCUCAAUCAGAACCUCCCUUGGCUUGAGGACCACUGGAAAGGGAAGGUCGACUUUAGCGGAAAUGCCCGCCAACGGUCCGACCUGACCAUCGCCAACCUGAGCUUAAACGACAGUGCGGUGUACUUCUGCGCAGCGAGCACGGCGCUGCAGAUUGGCUCACCAGCCGUCAAAAAACAGGCAACCCUCGCUUAUCUGGGUUUAAUAUCAAAACUAACACCUGCGGCAUCCGACUCCAUCGCUUUCAUUAUGAAUUCUGAAAAUAUCAUUUGA